RNAcentral lists this unclassified non-coding RNA (1739 nucleotides) under Drosophila mojavensis. RNAcentral's name for it is "GI25754". Lineage: Eukaryota; Metazoa; Arthropoda; Insecta; Diptera; Drosophilidae. The record is from RNAcentral.
AUGUUGUACAUAUAUGUAUACUUAUCUUACAAAGUCAAAGACAUGGAUAACUCCGAUUCAUCCGAGGAAUUUUUUGACGCAAGAUCGGAGCAAUUCGACACAACACCAUUAGAAAUGGACCUCACAACAUCUCUCAAGGAGGGAAAACUAGCCAUCAACUAUUUCUUUGAUAACAGAUUUGAGGAGGCUCGGAAACUAUUAAAACCUUUUACUGGAUUGAGUCUAUAUCAUUCAUUGGGCACUGCAGUGUUUGCAUUUCUUGAGGCAAUGCUUACUUUUGAGCACGUUGACGAAGCAUCUGCCGAACUUAAAAGGUGUAUAGACCUCUGCCAACGUUUGCGAAGAAAAAACACUUUAGCGGAAGCAAUCAGCAAUACUUUCAAAAAAAGAAAUUUCAACAGUCUCACAGAUCUGGAAUGCCACGCAGAGCUCUGUAUGGCCGAAGUGUUGCUGAUGAGCGCGUUGCUCACUUUUAUCGAGGACGAAAAUCUCAGUGGACUCAUCCGUGGCAGUUUACAAGUCCGUCAAUGCUAUAAUUGUUUUAGCAUUGUUUUUCAGAUUCUGUGGACAAAUAAUGAAACACCGCACAUGGGAAUCGAGUCCAACGAGCGUAAAAAUUCAUUUUCGAAGCGGAGUACAUCUGGGAAUUGGUACUUUUAACCUGAUGAUAUCUAUGCUGCCUGUUCGCGUUAUUAAAGUACUGCAAUUCAUUGGGUUCUCUACUAAUAGGGUAAGCACCACAUAACGACAGAGUCCUUACCAGCAUUUAUUUUAAGUGACCCUGUUUAGAAGGAUGGGUUAAAUGAUCUACGCACAGGAUAUCAAGAAAACGGAUUACGGCAAAUAUUAUGUGCACUAUCAUUGUUGGGCUAUUAUCUAAUGGUUAUACCCAUGCUCAGCGCUAAACAUUCCACGAAUGAUCUCAAUUUAUGUGAUGAGAUACUGACUAGCCAGUUGGCAAAAUAUCCGAAUGGUGUUUGGAUGUUGUUCUUUAAGGGGAGAUUUGAAUUAAUCCAAGGCCAUUUAGAUGCCGCUGAGUCGUGGUAUGUGCGGUCAUGGAAAUCUCAGGAUGCCUGGCCCCAAUUUCACUAUUUGAGCUUUUGGGAACUGUUAUGGAUCAAUUGUAUACAGCAGAAGUGGAGUGAUGCUCAAUUUUAUGCUAGUCAAUUACUCGAGAAGAGUAAGUGGUCACGAUCUAUAUAUACCUAUCAGUUAGCUGCCAUCAAAUUAAUGUUAAACCCAAAAUCGGACGAAGACAAAAGCGAAAUUAAAAAGUUAAUGUUGGAGGUUCCAGCGUACAGGCAAAAAAUCGCUGGGAAAUCUUUGCCAAUGGAGAAAUUUAUGGCUGGCCGGUCUAUCCGAUAUAAUAGCCAGAAUAAUAGACUCGUCUUGCCCCUGAUUGAGUUGAUGUACCUAUGGAAUAUCUUUAAAUUUAUUGGAAAAAAUUACCAAAUGGCUGAUAGUCUUCUACAAAUCAUAAAUGGGGAGCUCGCUAUGUUUGACAAACCAUCUACUGAUUUAUAUUACGCUGAUAAUCGUGCACUAUGCCUUCUGCUACGAGGAUCGUGCUAUGUCCAAAUGGGUGAAUCUGUAUUAGCUUUACAGGAUUUCACUGAAUGCAUUCAUCAAAAUGGAAUUGUCGAAGAUCACUUUAUAAUCCCAUAUGCCUACGUAGAAUGUGCUCUUUGUCACGCAGCUAAUGAUCCAGCUCUGGCAAUAUCCAUUCUGCAGGACACUAA